AACGAACGCUGGCGGCAUGCCUAACACAUGCAAGUCGAACGAGACCUGCGGAGCUUGUUGCGCUCGGUUACGUAACGACGGGGAAGCUGCCCUUAGGUUCCGAAUAACGCACCGGGAGAGGUGCUAAUAAAGGGAUAUGUAUUCGGGCAUAAGAUUUAUCGCCUUUUGAUGGUCCCGCAUUGGAUUAAAUUGUUGGUAGGGUAAAAGCCUACCAAGGCGACGAUCCAUAGCUGGUCUGAGAGGAUGAUCAGCCACACUGGGACUGGGAGACGGCCCAGACUCCUGCGGAAGGAAGCAGUGGGGAAUAUUGGACAAUGGGCGAAAGCCUGAUCCAGCCAGGCCGCGUGAGUGAUGAAGGCCUUAGGGUUGUAAAGCUGUGUUACCCGGGAUGAUAAUGACAGUACCGUAAGAAUAAGCUACGGCUAACUCCGUG
RNAcentral lists this ribosomal RNA (433 nucleotides) under uncultured bacterium. RNAcentral describes it as "partial 16S ribosomal RNA". It matches the Rfam family "Bacterial small subunit ribosomal RNA", at positions 29 to 507 of the family's 1533-position model. The record is from RNAcentral.